Molecule: ribosomal RNA, 301 nt
Filed under: uncultured bacterium
Lineage: Bacteria
Description: partial 16S ribosomal RNA
Rfam family: Bacterial small subunit ribosomal RNA
Source: RNAcentral
CAGUAGCCGCGGUAAUACGAAGGGUGCAAGCGUUACUCGGAAUUACUGGGCGUAAAGCGUGCGUAGGCGGUUCGUUAAGUCCGAUGUGAAAGCCCUGGGCUCAACCUGGGAACUGCAUUGGAAACUGGCGGGCUGGAGUGCGGUAGAGGGUGGCGGAAUUCCCGGUGUAGCAGUGAAAUGCGUAGAUAUCGGGAGGAACACCCGUGGCGAAGGCGGCCACCUGGACCAGCACUGACGCUGAGGCACGAAAGCGUGGGGAGCAAACAGGAUUAGAGACCCCAGUAGUCCCUGUCUCUUAUAC